GAUGAACGCUGGCGGCGUGCCUAAUACAUGCAAGUCGAGCGAACCACUUCGGUGGUGAGCGGCGAACGGGUGAGUAACACGUAGGUUAUCUGCCCAUCAGACGGGGACAACGAUUGGAAACGAUCGCUAAUACCGGAUAGGACGAAAGUUUAAAGGUGCUUCGGCACCACUGAUGGAUGAGCCUGCGGCGCAUUAGCUAGUUGGUAGGGUAAAGGCCUACCAAGGCGACGAUGCGUAGCCGACCUGAGAGGGUGAACGGCCACACUGGGACUGAGACACGGCCCAGACUCCUACGGGAGGCGGCAGUAGGGAAUCUUCGGCAAUGGGCGAAAGCCUGACCGAGCAACGCCGCGUGAAAGAUGAAGGCCUU
RNAcentral lists this ribosomal RNA (370 nucleotides) under uncultured bacterium. RNAcentral's name for it is "bacterial SSU rRNA". It matches the Rfam family "Bacterial small subunit ribosomal RNA", at positions 28 to 418 of the family's 1533-position model. The record is from RNAcentral.